AACGAACGCUGGCGGCGUGCCUAACACAUGCAAGUCGAGCGCGAAAAGGGCAACCUGAGUAGAGCGGCGCACGGGUGCGUAACACGUGGGUAAUCUGCCUUCGAGUCGAGGAUAACCUUCCGAAAGGUUGGCUAAUACUCGGUAAGCUUACGGUGUCUUCGGACGCUGUGGGAAAAGUAGGCCUCUGUUUACAAGCUUACGCUCUGCGAUGAGCCCGCGGCCCAUCAGCUAGUUGGCGGUGUAACGGACCACCAAGGCAACGACGGGUAGCUGGUCUGAGAGGACGAUCAGCCACACUGGAACUGAGACACGGUACAGACUCCUACGGGAGGCAGCAGUGGGGAAUUUUCCACAAUGGGCGAAAGCCUGAUGGAGCAACGCAGCGUGUGUGAUGAAGGUUUUCGGAUCGUAAAGCACUUUCGACCGGGACGAAAAACCUCUGGCUAACAUCCAGGGGCCUGACGGUACCGGGAGAAGAAGCACCGGCUAGCUCUGUGCCAGCAGCCGCCGCCG
This 513-nucleotide ribosomal RNA is filed under the name uncultured bacterium. Its description in RNAcentral is "partial 16S ribosomal RNA". It matches the Rfam family "Bacterial small subunit ribosomal RNA", at positions 29 to 523 of the family's 1533-position model. The record is from RNAcentral.